This 4324-nucleotide long non-coding RNA is filed under the name Vitis vinifera (wine grape). RNAcentral's name for it is "long non-coding RNA (VVIN_LNC000425)". The record is from RNAcentral. Lineage: Eukaryota; Viridiplantae; Streptophyta; Magnoliopsida; Vitales; Vitaceae.
GAGCAUGUUUGAUACAUAUGGGCAGGUAUGAGCAUCCCACAAUUCCAUUUCCCACAGGGCCACACACUUGAUAUAGGGUGGAAAAGGUCUUAGCCAGAGAAAAUUCUAAAGGAAGUUAAGAAGGGUGUUGAGCAAGAAUCAGAGAGUUGACUUGAAUUGUUUGAAAUCCAAAUUUCAGAACCUAAAAAUAGCAGGAGGGUGCAUGGGCUGCUCAAAACUCGUAGGACAGCCAAAAAAAAAAAAACAAAAGAGAAGCCAAAGAUGAAAGGAAAAGAGUGCCAAAAGUUAUGCAGGAUGGGGUGCAAGGCUAUGUGUCUCCGUGCUCUUCUAUUGUUGUUUGUGAGUGUGAUUGUAGGCUUAUGCUUGUAUGGGUUUCCACACCCAUUUGGUAAGUGCAUGCUAGCAUUGAACAAUGUUUAACUACCAUUGUAAUUCACAUUGUUUUUCUCACAUAUUGGUGCCUCAUACUAAUAUACUUUUAAAUGUAAAUGUGCAGUACAACUACGAGGCAACAUGGCAAGAAGAAUUCACAAUGGUUUCAUCACCUUGGUGAUCAAAUCUCUCCAUUUCUUCAUUGGCAAGUGCAUGCAGUUCAGAUUCUCAUCACCACUGCAUUCUGCGUCCUCUGCCACGUCUAGGCUGCUCUUUUGGGUGGGAUUUACUCGAUCAAUCAGUUCUAUGGACUCCCCAAUUUCGUAAUCCAGCUAAACAAAAAUUUUGACAGCCCCAAUAUGUGGCUUCCACAUUGCCUAACCUGUUCUGGUUAGCAUUUACCCAAUCAAUCUCUCCUAUAUAAUAAUAUCUGUGGAAUUAAGCUCACCUACCUUUAAAAGCCAGGCAGUUGUGACAACCAACCUGCCCACGUGAUUUGACUUGAGUCACCAAAAAAACUCAGCACUUGAUCUCAGUAUGAAUCCUAUGUUGACAUACUACAUCCGUUGUUGGUAGCAGAGUUGAUUCCCAGUAUUUGGAACUCAAGCAUGGAUAUUGCUGUUGUGGGUAACAGAGUCAAUUCCCAGUAUUUGGAACUCAAGCAUGGAUAUUGCUGUUGUUGGUAACAAAGUCAAUUCCCAGUAUUUGGAACUCAAGCAUGGAUAUUCUUUAUAUUGUUAAUCAAGUGGUCGAUAAGCUGAACAUUUUGAUUGUCCUGAUCUAUCAGUAAAAAUUGAACUCACAUUUUCAUGUUGCUUUCUGUCUGAUUAUACAUAUGUGUAUGCAUGACAAAUAGUGUUGUGUUCUUGAACACAAACAGAGCCUCAACAAUAUGAUAAUUAACAAUAAUAAGAUAUUGGUGGAGAGCUAGAAUUUCACUAAUUUAACCAAUGCACAAUGGGCUCUGAAUCCCCAAAGUUUCACCUACAUACUUUAAUUUAACCAGGUUCUUAAAUAAAUUUAUCAGUAAUUAUACUGAACAGAAACAUGAACAUGGAAGGAGAGAACAGGGCAAAAUUAGAAUGAAGCAAAAUAAUAUACAUAUAGAAAAUACAAAUUGCUCAUCAUCAUUGUUGUUCAACUUUCUCUUUUUGUUUGUCAUGUCUUUCCAUCCUACAUCACAAAAUAAUAUACCAUUUUUGUUUUUGCUUGCUUUUUCUCGUUUAUUUUCUUCUUACAUGCUUAAAAAUCCAACAACUUGACUCUGCAAAUUAUCCAAACAGAUUGAAGAUUCUCUAACACUUCAAGUCUUGGAAGCAAUACUUUGCAAUGAACCAUUCCAACUCAUUUAGAUUGUAGCCAUCAUGUCUAUAUUUCAAAGGCUUAGGGAGUAAAUGUAUGAAUAUUAUGGUUACUGUAAGUUUGCUUCUUUUUUCUUAUUUUUGUUGUUAUUCAGUUGUUGACAACCAUAAACUAAGGAGAUAAAGGCAUUGAACAAUGGAAUACUAAUAUGUCAAGCAAUUAUAAACCAGUCAAGUAUAUGGAGGUGCUUUCUACUUGAGGUGGGUUGCUUCCUCUAAUAUUUGUUUUAAAAUAGUUAAUUUAUAUUGCUUUUAUAUAUUAGGACUUGGGAGCAAACUGAACUUGGAUUUUGAGUAUAAAAUUCAAAUCCACCAUUUGGAUUGAUUAGAUGAUGAAUCAUGUUAGAAAUUUAGAUUGGCCAAUGUGCAUCUUUGAAACAAGAAAUAUACAAACAUGAAAUAAGGAUUGGAAGAGUCCUUGUUGAUUGCUAAGAUUGCAGAGCAAGCUGAUACCAAGGACCUAGAGAAGAAACGAGGGAGCAAUCCUGAGAUGAACUUGAAAUUUAGAUUAUUAGCACUUUGAAAGAGUAUAAAGUAGUUUCCUUCUAGAUCUUUAUUAUGAAGGUUCAGGCCCUUAGAGGGGAGGUUUUCCAGCAGCACAAAAGGGGAGUUUUUCUCUGUAACAAACAUAUUUAGGAGGUCUAAGGAACACCGAAGUACCAGCACUUUUCAUCAUUGCAGAGAUAAGAGGAAAGUAAUGGGGGUGAUCUAUUAGGAUUCCCUAUGUACAAGAUGAUAAUUCAAAACUGCCCGAUUGCAUCAGUUCUGCCAUCAACUUUAACCAACUACAUGUCAAGUUACAGCAUAAAUAUAAUUGUGUAAGAAACAUGGGUACGUUUAAGGGCUAGAAAAAAAAAAAGGUUUAGAUUAGCACUCAUUCUCUACAUGCCAAAACUGUUCUCUAUUUCCAUGGUAUAGGGCAAACAAAUAAAACUGGCCAAAGACAAUGAAUGAGGAUAAUAUUAACAUUUUUGCUCUAGGCUAAUGCUAAUACUAGGACCUUUUUGCCCUUCCUCGGGUCCAGAGGUCACUUCCCCACCCUUCUCUCCCAUGCCCAUCACUUGGUUCCUUCUAUGCUCUCACCUAGGGGCUUGCCCUCUUCCCUCAAGCCCCAUUUUUUCGAGUGUAGUCUUUGAAGGCUCAAUAUAGUACUCCUUACCCUCAAUAAGGCUCUUUCACACUUCCCAGGACCCUCUUUCCUUAGCCUCAAGGGGAGUUAAUAGCUUAAUUUAAGUAUGUUCAACAAAAUAAUUUAGUAAUACUACUUAAAGUCAAUAUUUUUUCUGAAUUCAAAAUAAUGUUUUGCUUUUAUUUCAAAAAGACUUUUUAUUAACCUAUAUUACAACCAUUAGUUCCUUUUUUGAAUAUUUCUCUCUUAUAACCUCAUUGCUUAACAUUAAUAAAGGUAAAUAUGUAAAAUUUAACAACUUAUCCUUUGUUCUACUAAAGCCAAUUUGCUCCCCUUGGAGUCCAAUAUACUAGAAGAGGGGGACUCGAGGCAUAGCCCUAAAGGAGGGGUAGGGAGGGGCUCUGAGGAAGAAAGAGGUGAAGAGAAGGCUUGAAGAGAGUGACAAAGGCAAGGCCUCUACCAAGUGUCAAAUACAGAGCUUACCUCCAAGGCAGUGGAAGUGUGGGGGCUGCAGGUACAAAAAGCAGCCCUCAACAGUACUAGAGGUGUUAGUUUGAAAUAAGGAGAAGAGACAUUGAAUAAUAGAACACUUGGUAUAGCGGGUUUUCUUCACUUGAGCUAAGUUGAUUCCUUUAAUAUUUGUUACUCAUAAAAAAGUCAACUCAGAUUGCUUUUUAUUUAUUAGAACUAGGAAAGAGCUUGAUAUGGAUUUUUGAGUUUAAAUUCAAACCAAUCAUUUGGAUGGAUUUGAUGAUGAACCAUGUUAGAUAUUUAGAUUUGCUGAAAACGCACAUUUGAAACAAUAAAUGUAUGAAUAUGGAGUAAGGAUAAGAGUAGUGUGAUUAGGCCUAUGAUGGGGCCAAGAUUGUUGUAACUGAGGUGAAACCAAAGAUACCAGAUCCACUUCAACAAUAGCUUGAAGAAAAGAUAAUAAAGAAAAGAGGAGAGAGUAUCAAAUCUCUCCACAAAACCACCAAAACUACAUGUGAAAGGGAUGUAAAAACAUAAUUCACUUAACAACUAAACAGACAGUCAACAUAACUUAGAAAAAAUUGAAUGGAUGGUAACUAGGCACACAUGUAACCAACCGAAGUUAUAAGGCCAGACCAGAAAGUAAUGAACAAUGCCAGAUUGUCCGGGUUAUCUACUCAAUCCAGUAAGCAUUCCCAAUAUCAGUCCUAUAGUCAAGAAUGCAUCCCACAAAUUUUCAACUAAUGCAUAUUUCAAUGUUAAGUUUGCUUCUCCAUGUUACAUAUGAGCUCAAUGAGAAAUAUGUAUAUAUGACAACUGAAAAAUAUAAUGUACAGAAGAAAUAACAAGGUGAGGAAAUUACCAGAUUUCUUGGUUGCCUGGGAAACAGCUCCUCAAUAAGGCAUUCUGGAGGGUCUCCACAUCCAGAAACCUCUCCAUAAACCUCUAAACCUGACAAACCACUUCCUGAUUGCUUAAAAUACUCUUGCAA